This 127-nucleotide transfer RNA is filed under the name Deltaproteobacteria bacterium. Its description in RNAcentral is "tRNA-OTHER". It matches the Rfam family "tRNA". From Rfam's summary of the family: Transfer RNA (tRNA) molecules are approximately 80 nucleotides in length. Their secondary structure includes four short double-helical elements and three loops (D, anti-codon, and T loops). Further hydrogen bonds mediate the characteristic L-shaped molecular structure. tRNAs have two regions of fundamental functional importance: the anti-codon, which is responsible for specific mRNA codon recognition, and the 3' end, to which the tRNAs corresponding amino acid is attached (by aminoacyl-tRNA synthetases). tRNAs cope with the degeneracy of the genetic code in two manners: having more than one tRNA (with a specific anti-codon) for a particular amino acid; and 'wobble' base-pairing, i.e. permitting non-standard base-pairing at the 3rd anti-codon position. Lineage: Bacteria; Pseudomonadati; Myxococcota; Myxococcia. The record is from RNAcentral.
GCCCUCAUAGCUCAAUGGUUAGAGCGCCGAAAAACGUGUCUCUGCGAUCCUCGUCGGGCGACCGAAUGCAGCAGGGACUACAUCCCUUCGGAGGCGGAGGUUGCAGGUUCGAAUCCUGCUGAGGGUA